AGUGAACGCUGGCGGCAGGCCUAACACAUGCAAGUCGAGCGGCAGCGCGGGGGCAACCCUGGCGGCGAGCGGCGGACGGGUGAGGAAUUCGUCGGAAUCUGCCUGUUUGUGGGGGAUAACGUCGGGAAACGUACGCUAAUACCGCAUACGUCCUACGGGAGAAAGUGGGGGACCUCAGGACCUCACGCUAACAGAUGAGCCUACGUCGGAUUAGCUAGUUGGUGGGGUAAAGGCCCACCAAGGCGACGAUCGGUAGCUGGUCUGAGAGGAUGAUCAGCCACACUGGAACUGAGACACGGCCCAGACUCCUACGGGAGGCAGCAGUGGGGAAUAUUGGACAAUGGGCGAAAGCCUGAUCCAGCCAUGCCGCGUGUGUGAAGAAGGCCUUCGGAUUGUAAAGCACUUUUGUUCGGGAGGAAGGGCAGUGAGUUAAUACCUUGGGGGUAUGACGUUACCAAAAGAAUAAGCACCGGCUAACUUCGUG
RNAcentral lists this ribosomal RNA (484 nucleotides) under uncultured bacterium. Its description in RNAcentral is "partial 16S ribosomal RNA". It matches the Rfam family "Bacterial small subunit ribosomal RNA", at positions 29 to 507 of the family's 1533-position model. The record is from RNAcentral.